GGGUUGUGAGGUUAAGCGACUAAGCGUACACGGUGGAUGCCCUGGCAGUCAGAGGCGAUGAAGGACGUGCUAAUCUGCGAUAAGCGUCGGUAAGGUGAUAUGAACCGUUAUAACCGGCGAUUUCCGAAUGGGGAAACCCAGUGUGAUUCGUCACACUAUCAUUAACUGAAUCCAUAGGUUAAUGAGGCGAACCGGGGGAACUGAAACAUCUAAGUACCCCGAGGAAAAGAAAUCAACCGAGAUUCCCCCAGUAGCGGCGAGCGAACGGGGAGGAGCCCAGAGCCUGAAUCAGUGUGUGUGUUAGUGGAAGCGUCUGGAAAGGCGCGCGAUACAGGGUGACAGCCCCGUACACAAAAAUGCACAUACUGUGAGCUCGAUGAGUAGGGCGGGACACGUGGUAUCCUGUCUGAAUAUGGGGGGACCAUCCUCCAAGGCUAAAUACUCCUGACUGACCGAUAGUGAACCAGUACCGUGAGGGAAAGGCGAAAAGAACCCCGGCGAGGGGAGUGAAAAAGAACCUGAAACCGUGUACGUACAAGCAGUGGGAGCCUCUUUAUGGGGUGACUGCGUACCUUUUGUAUAAUGGGUCAGCGACUUAUAUUCUGUAGCAAGGUUAACCGAAUAGGGGAGCCGAAGGGAAACCGAGUCUUAACUGGGCGUUAAGUUGCAGGGUAUAGACCCGAAACCCGGUGAUCUAGCCAUGGGCAGGUUGAAGGUUGGGUAACACUAACUGGAGGACCGAACCGACUAAUGUUGAAAAAUUAGCGGAUGACUUGUGGCUGGGGGUGAAAGGCCAAUCAAACCGGGAGAUAGCUGGUUCUCCCCGAAAGCUAUUUAGGUAGCGCCUCGUGAAUUCAUCUCCGGGGGUAGAGCACUGUUUCGGCAAGGGGGUCAUCCCGACUUACCAACCCGAUGCAAACUGCGAAUACCGGAGAAUGUUAUCACGGGAGACACACGGCGGGUGCUAACGUCCGUCGUGAAGAGGGAAACAACCCAGACCGCCAGCUAAGGUCCCAAAGUCAUGGUUAAGUGGGAAACGAUGUGGGAAGGCCCAGACAGCCAGGAUGUUGGCUUAGAAGCAGCCAUCAUUUAAAGAAAGCGUAAUAGCUCACUGGUCGAGUCGGCCUGCGCGGAAGAUGUAACGGGGCUAAACCAUGCACCGAAGCUGCGGCAGCGACACUAUGUGUUGUUGGGUAGGGGAGCGUUCUGUAAGCCUGUGAAGGUGGCCUGUGAGGGUUGCUGGAGGUAUCAGAAGUGCGAAUGCUGACAUAAGUAACGAUAAAGCGGGUGAAAAGCCCGCUCGCCGGAAGACCAAGGGUUCCUGUCCAACGUUAAUCGGGGCAGGGUGAGUCGACCCCUAAGGCGAGGCCGAAAGGCGUAGUCGAUGGGAAACAGGUUAAUAUUCCUGUACUUGGUGUUACUGCGAAGGGGGGACGGAGAAGGCUAUGUUGGCCGGGCGACGGUUGUCCCGGUUUAAGCGUGUAGGCUGGUUUUCCAGGCAAAUCCGGAAAAUCAAGGCUGAGGCGUGAUGACGAGGCACUACGGUGCUGAAGCAACAAAUGCCCUGCUUCCAGGAAAAGCCUCUAAGCAUCAGGUAACAUCAAAUCGUACCCCAAACCGACACAGGUGGUCAGGUAGAGAAUACCAAGGCGCUUGAGAGAACUCGGGUGAAGGAACUAGGCAAAAUGGUGCCGUAACUUCGGGAGAAGGCACGCUGAUAUGUAGGUGAAGUCCCUCGCGGAUGGAGCUGAAAUCAGUCGAAGAUACCAGCUGGCUGCAACUGUUUAUUAAAAACACAGCACUGUGCAAACACGAAAGUGGACGUAUACGGUGUGACGCCUGCCCGGUGCCGGAAGGUUAAUUGAUGGGGUCAGCGCAAGCGAAGCUCUUGAUCGAAGCCCCGGUAAACGGCGGCCGUAACUAUAACGGUCCUAAGGUAGCGAAAUUCCUUGUCGGGUAAGUUCCGACCUGCACGAAUGGCGUAAUGAUGGCCAGGCUGUCUCCACCCGAGACUCAGUGAAAUUGAACUCGCUGUGAAGAUGCAGUGUACCCGCGGCAAGACGGAAAGACCCCGUGAACCUUUACUAUAGCUUGACACUGAACAUUGAGCCUUGAUGUGUAGGAUAGGUGGGAGGCUUUGAAGUGUGGACGCCAGUCUGCAUGGAGCCGACCUUGAAAUACCACCCUUUAAUGUUUGAUGUUCUAACGUUGACCCGUAAUCCGGGUUGCGGACAGUGUCUGGUGGGUAGUUUGACUGGGGCGGUCUCCUCCUAAAGAGUAACGGAGGAGCACGAAGGUUGGCUAAUCCUGGUCGGACAUCAGGAGGUUAGUGCAAUGGCAUAAGCCAGCUUGACUGCGAGCGUGACGGCGCGAGCAGGUGCGAAAGCAGGUCAUAGUGAUCCGGUGGUUCUGAAUGGAAGGGCCAUCGCUCAACGGAUAAAAGGUACUCCGGGGAUAACAGGCUGAUACCGCCCAAGAGUUCAUAUCGACGGCGGUGUUUGGCACCUCGAUGUCGGCUCAUCACAUCCUGGGGCUGAAGUAGGUCCCAAGGGUAUGGCUGUUCGCCAUUUAAAGUGGUACGCGAGCUGGGUUUAGAACGUCGUGAGACAGUUCGGUCCCUAUCUGCCGUGGGCGCUGGAGAACUGAGGGGGGCUGCUCCUAGUACGAGAGGACCGGAGUGGACGCAUCACUGGUGUUCGGGUUGUCAUGCCAAUGGCACUGCCCGGUAGCUAAAUGCGGAAGAGAUAAGUGCUGAAAGCAUCUAAGCACGAAACUUGCCCCGAGAUGAGUUCUCCCUGACUCCUUGAGAGUCCUGAAGGAACGUUGAAGACGACGACGUUGAUAGGCCGGGUGUGUAAGCGCAGCGAUGCGUUGAGCUAACCGGUACUAAUGAACCGUGAGGCUUAACCUUACAACGCCGAAG
Molecule: ribosomal RNA, 2923 nt
Filed under: Escherichia coli
Lineage: Bacteria; Pseudomonadati; Pseudomonadota; Gammaproteobacteria; Enterobacterales; Enterobacteriaceae
Description: bacterial LSU rRNA
Rfam family: Bacterial large subunit ribosomal RNA
Source: RNAcentral